UUGGGAUUAUUUGAUGAUGUUUUAUGUAAAUUGUCGAGUUUAUUUGACUUAUGAUUUUAAUAAAGUUGAGUACUAUUUCAUGAGAUAAGUGAAGAUGUUUUUAAUUGUUUUAUUUUGUUGCGAUUAUAUUUUGAGAAAGAUGUUAUGCGAUGAAUGUGAUACCCUUUUUUAGUUUUACUUUCGUGUUAUGUUUUGAAAUCAUAUGUUGGAGUUUAG
RNAcentral lists this long non-coding RNA (216 nucleotides) under Lathyrus oleraceus (garden pea). Its description in RNAcentral is "Pisum sativum (pea) long non-coding RNA (PSAT_LNC004602)". Lineage: Eukaryota; Viridiplantae; Streptophyta; Magnoliopsida; Fabales; Fabaceae. The record is from RNAcentral.